GCAUCAGCAUUUCUGCACAGCACAGCCCUGGGAGCACAAAAGCUGCGGGAAGGAGCAGGGGGUCCCCGGUUUUGCUGGGGGCCCCACCCGGCGCUCCCCGGUGUGGGAGGCCUGGCCCAGCCGCAAACACGCCCAUCUCCACCAGGCAGGAGCCCCGUGCACAGAUGUUGCAAAGUUAUGAGAUGAUUUUCGGGCCUCCAUGGGGUGAAAAGGGUGGAUUUGUCCGAGAGGGCCAUCCCUGUGGCGUUGUUUUUGGUAAGCACAAGCAUGAUUUCAUUUCCAUGGCAAUUCUGGGAAAAGAUCCUGAUGGAGCACAGCAGUUGGCCGAAUACAUAUGGAGCCCAGGGACCCAGGAAUGAAUAGUGAAUGGAGAAAUGGCUGGAAUCUGCCUUCAGCUUUGUCUCCGGGAUGACUGAUGUUAAGAGACCUAAGAGCUUGCAGCACAGAUGGCAGGAGGAGGCAGGUUGGAGGAGAAAAAGGAGGAGAAGACUCAAGAAGCCUGAACCAGUCACAGCCUGGAGAACUCCAAGUCUUGGAUACUGGCGUGCUGUGCCAUAUUUUAAGGCUUGGUCCGCUGAGUAACUGAUCCUCAAAGAGCCGCAGGUUCCUGAGCUCUAGCAUUCUGAGUGGAGAGAGUUUGACUGAAGUGGCUUUAUAGAGCCUUAGACGUCUCUGAUAACACUCAGCAAAUAUCCUCUCAUUGACUCAUGCUAGCCCUCCACGUACAGAAUAAAAAACCCUCUGGCCUGGACUUCUGGAUUCGGGUUGAAGAGUCUCUACCACCCACAAGAAGUGUUUGCCUAGUAAGAGCUAACCAGAAUUCAGGACUUUCUAUCCACCAGGCAUCUUCUAAGUGUUUUACAAGUGUCAUUUUAUAUAAUCCUCGCAACAGUGUGUUGAGCAAUCCAAGUGCCCAUCAACAAAUGAAUGGAUAAACAAAAUGUGGUCUGUACAUGCAAUGGAAAAUCAUUUGGCCCUGAAAAAGGAAUGGAGUCCUGAUGCAUGCAACAACACGGACGAACCUUGAAAACAUCAAGCUGAGUGAAAUAAGCCAGACACAAAGGGACAAAUAUUGUAUGGUCUCACUGAUAGGAAAUAAGCAGAAUAAGAAUAGUCAUGAUGUCAGAAACUAGAAUACGUGUUACUGGGGACAUGAGAGGUUGGGGAAUGGGGAGUUAAUGUUAAUUGGUUUGGAGUUUCUGUUUGGGGGAUGGAAAAGAUUUGGUAAUGGAUGGUGGGGAUGGAGGCACAACUUUUUGUAUGUAAUUGACAUCACUGAAUUGUAUAUUUGAAAAGGGAAUAAAAGGGAAGUUUUAAGUUUGUAUAUAAAUUAGCACACACACACACAAACCCAUAGAACUGUAGAACACAAUGUAAACAGUUUGCUACAUGAAUAGCAUAAUUAUAAUAAUAUUGGUUCACCAGUUGCAACAAAGUUACCACACUAAUGCGAAAUGUUAAUAAUGGGGAAAAUGGGUGUGAGAGGGGCAUACAUGGGAACUUUGUACUAUCUGCAUGAUGCUUGUGUAAACCUAAAACGGUUCUAAUAAAAAAAUUUUUUUUUAA
Molecule: long non-coding RNA, 1566 nt
Organism: Choloepus didactylus (southern two-toed sloth)
Lineage: Eukaryota; Metazoa; Chordata; Mammalia; Pilosa; Megalonychidae
Exons: 4
Source: RefSeq, a predicted model, not a curated record